RNAcentral lists this ribosomal RNA (492 nucleotides) under uncultured bacterium. RNAcentral describes it as "partial 16S ribosomal RNA". It matches the Rfam family "Bacterial small subunit ribosomal RNA", at positions 29 to 507 of the family's 1533-position model. The record is from RNAcentral.
AGUGAACGCUGGCGGUAGGCCUAACACAUGCAAGUCGAACGGCAGCACAGUAAGAGCUUGCUCUUACGGGUGGCGAGUGGCGGACGGGUGGGGAAUACAUCGGAAUCUACUUUUUCGUGGGGGAUAACGUAGGGAAACUUACGCUAAUACCGCAUACGACCUACGGGUGAAAGCAGGAGAUCUUCGGACCUUGCGCGAUUGAAUGAGCCGAUGUCGGAUUAGCUAGUUGGCGGGGUAAAGGCCCACCAAGGCGACGAUCCGUAGCUGGUCUGAGAGGAUGAUCGGCCACACUGGAACUGAGACACGGUCCAGACUCCUACGGGAGGCAGCAGUGGGGAAUAUUGGACAAUGGGCGCAAGCCUGAUCCAGCCAUACCGCGUGGGUGAAGAAGGCCUUCGGGUUGUAAAGCCCUUUUGUUGGGAAAGAAAAGCAGCAGGUUAAUACCCGGCUGUUCUGACGGUACCCAAAGAAUAAGCCACGGCUAACUUCGUG